RNAcentral lists this ribosomal RNA (406 nucleotides) under uncultured bacterium. Its description in RNAcentral is "partial 16S ribosomal RNA". It matches the Rfam family "Bacterial small subunit ribosomal RNA", at positions 30 to 526 of the family's 1533-position model. The record is from RNAcentral.
AUUGAACGCUGGCGGCAGGCCUAACACAUGCAAGUCGAACGAGUGGCGGACGGGUGAGUAAUUUCUGGGCAACUGCCUGAUGGAGGGGUAUAACUACUGGAAACGGUAGCUAAUACCGCAUACCAUCAGAUGUGCCCAGAUGGGUUUAGCUUGUUGGUGGGGUAACGGCUCACCAAGGCGACGAUCCCUAGCUGGUCUGAGAGGAUGACCGGCCACACUGGAACUGAGACACGGCCCAGACUCCUACGGGAGGCAGCAGUGGGGAAUAUUCGACAAUGGGCGCAAGCCUGACGCAGCCAUGCCGCGUGAGUGAAGAAGGCUUUCGGGUUGUAAAGCACUGUUGGCGGGGAGGCGUUACCCAAAGAGAAAGCAACGGCUAACUCCGUGCCAGCAGCCGCGGUAAUAC